AUUGAACGCUGGCGGCAUGCUUUACACAUGCGAGUCGAACGGUAACAGGUUAAGCUGACGAGUGGCGAACGGGUGAGUAAUGCAUCGGAACGUGCCCGAUCGUGGGGGAUAACGCAGCGAAAGCUGCGCUAAUACCGCAUACGAUCUGAGGAUGAAAGCGGGGGACCGUAAGGCCUCGCGCGAUCGGAGCGGCCGAUGUCAGAUUAGGUCGUUGGUGGGGUAAAGGCUAACCAAGCCAACGAUCUGUAGCUGGUCUGAGAGGACGACCAGCCACACUGGGACUGAGACACGGCCCAGACUCCUACGGGAGGCAGCAGUGGGGAAUUUUGGACAAUGGGCGAAAGCCUGAUCCAGCAAUGCCGCGUGCAGGAAGAAGGCCUUCGGGUUGUAAACUGCUUUUGUACGGAGCGAAAAGGUUCUCUCUAAUACAGAGGGCUCAUGACGGUACCGUAAGAAUAAGCACCGGCUAACUACGUGCCAGCAGCCGCAGUAA
This 493-nucleotide ribosomal RNA is filed under the name uncultured bacterium. RNAcentral's name for it is "partial 16S ribosomal RNA". It matches the Rfam family "Bacterial small subunit ribosomal RNA", at positions 30 to 523 of the family's 1533-position model. The record is from RNAcentral.